GCUUAGAAUCCCCCAGAGAUGUUGUGUGAAUAGCCCUGUCUUUGGCCAGGCAGAGUGGUUCGUGAAUC
RNAcentral lists this non-coding RNA (68 nucleotides) under uncultured Prevotella sp. RNAcentral describes it as "L13-Bacteroidia ribosomal protein leader". It matches the Rfam family "L13-Bacteroidia ribosomal protein leader". The record is from RNAcentral. Lineage: Bacteria; Pseudomonadati; Bacteroidota; Bacteroidia; Bacteroidales; Prevotellaceae.